AGGGCUGUGGAGGCCACGGGGCUGGGUUAUUCAUGGGAGCUUGGGGGUUAUACAUGGUCACUGGGGGGGGCCAUGGGGCUGGGGUUAUUCAUGGGAGCUGGGGGGUAACACAUGUUUGUGGGGGCCAUGGGACUGGGGGUUGGCGGGUGGAGCAGGGGUUUUGUACAACGCGUUGCCCUGCUCGAUGUUUACAGUCCCCGACAGGACAUGUAGGACAUCAGUGAGAGUUCUGUUCAUCUUCCAGAACUUGUCUU
Long non-coding RNA from Etheostoma spectabile (orangethroat darter), 254 nucleotides. RefSeq lists it as uncharacterized. Lineage: Eukaryota; Metazoa; Chordata; Actinopteri; Perciformes; Percidae. The record is from RefSeq and is a predicted model, not a curated record. The transcript has 3 exons.